RNAcentral lists this ribosomal RNA (567 nucleotides) under Staphylococcus aureus. RNAcentral's name for it is "partial 23S ribosomal RNA". It matches the Rfam family "Bacterial large subunit ribosomal RNA", at positions 2341 to 2909 of the family's 2925-position model. The record is from RNAcentral. Lineage: Bacteria; Bacillati; Bacillota; Bacilli; Caryophanales; Staphylococcaceae.
UUCAUAGAGUGUAAAGGCAUAAGGGAGCUUGACUGCGAGACCUACAAGUCGAGCAGGGUCGAAAGACGGACUUAGUGAUCCGGUGGUUCCGCAUGGAAGGGCCAUCGCUCAACGGAUAAAAGCUACCCCGGGGAUAACAGGCUUAUCUCCCCCAAGAGUUCACAUCGACGGGGAGGUUUGGCACCUCGAUGUCGGCUCAUCGCAUCCUGGGGCUGUAGUCGGUCCCAAGGGUUGGGCUGUUCGCCCAUUAAAGCGGUACGCGAGCUGGGUUCAGAACGUCGUGAGACAGUUCGGUCCCUAUCCGUCGUGGGCGUAGGAAAUUUGAGAGGAGCUGUCCUUAGUACGAGAGGACCGGGAUGGACAUACCUCUGGUGUACCAGUUGUCGUGCCAACGGCAUAGCUGGGUAGCUAUGUGUGGACGGGAUAAGUGCUGAAAGCAUCUAAGCAUGAAGCCCCCCUCAAGAUGAGAUUUCCCAACUUCGGUUAUAAGAUCCCUCAAAGAUGAUGAGGUUAAUAGGUUCGAGGUGGAAGCAUGGUGACAUGUGGAGCUGACGAAUACUAAUCGAU